This 497-nucleotide ribosomal RNA is filed under the name uncultured bacterium. RNAcentral's name for it is "partial 16S ribosomal RNA". It matches the Rfam family "Bacterial small subunit ribosomal RNA", at positions 28 to 507 of the family's 1533-position model. The record is from RNAcentral.
GAUGAACGCUGGCGGCGUGCCUAAUACAUGAAAGUCGAGCGAACAGAUGAGGAGCUUGCUCCUCUGACGCUAGCGGCGGAAGGGUGAGUAACACGUGGAUAACCUAUCUAUAAGACUGGGAUAACUUCGGGAAACCGGAGCUAAUACCGAAUAAUAUAUUGAACCGCAUGGAUAAAUAGUGAAAGACGGUUUUGCUGUCACAUAUAGAUGGAUCGGCGCAGCAUUAGCUAGUUGGUAAGGUAACGGCUUACCAACGAAACGAUGCGCAGCCGACGUGAGAGGGUGAACGCACACACUGGAACUGAGACACGGUCCAAGCUCCUACGGUACGCAGCAGUAAGGAAUCUUCCGCAAUGGCCGAAAGCCUGACGCAGCACCGCCACGUGAGUGAUGAAGGUCUUCUGAUCGUACAACUCUCUUAUUCUGGAAGAACAAAUGUUAAAGUACCUAUGCACGUCUUGACGGUACCUAAUCAGAAAGCCACGGCUAACUACGUG